Molecule: microRNA precursor, 100 nt
Filed under: Populus trichocarpa (black cottonwood)
Lineage: Eukaryota; Viridiplantae; Streptophyta; Magnoliopsida; Malpighiales; Salicaceae
Description: MIR474 microRNA precursor family
Rfam family: MIR474 microRNA precursor family
Source: Rfam by way of RNAcentral
UCAAUGCUAUUAGGUCUAGUUUUUCUGCUAGACCCAAUGCUAUUGGGUCUAUUUUUGCAGCCAGAUCCAAAACUAUUUUGGAUCUGACUUAGCAUUGUUA